Molecule: ribosomal RNA, 430 nt
Filed under: uncultured bacterium
Lineage: Bacteria
Description: bacterial SSU rRNA
Rfam family: Bacterial small subunit ribosomal RNA
Source: RNAcentral
UGGGGAAUUUUGCGCAAUGGGCGAAAGCCUGACGCAGCAACGCCGCGUGAGUGAUGAAGGCUUUCGGGUCGUAAAGCUCUGUCAGGGGGAAAGAAGUGUAUUGAGGUUAAUACCCUUGAUACUUGACGGUACCCCCAAAGGAAGCACCGGCUAACUCCGUGCCAGCAGCCGCGGUAAUACGGAGGGUGCGAGCGUUGUUCGGAAUUAUUGGGCGUAAAGCGCGUGUAGGCGGUUUAUUAAGUCUGAUGUGAAAGCCCCGGGCUCAACCUGGGAAGUGCAUUGGAUACUGUUAGACUUGAAUACGGGAGAGGGCAGUGGAAUUCCUGGUGUAGGAGUGAAAUCCGUAGAUAUCAGGAGGAACACCGGUGGCGAAGGCGGCUGCCUGGACCGAUAUUGACGCUGAGACGCGAAAGCGUGGGUAGCAAACAGG